GGACUAGCCCGGGUGGUUUGGCGUCACCUGUAAUCUGAAAUUGUCAAUAAGCAGAGGGCGAAGUUUGAGGACGGAUUCGGCAGUCCUUUUGAGGCGGCAGGGUUUCCGAUGUUGAUACCUUGUCCUGCGAGGUCAGCGGAUGUCUGUGGUGUAUCCGGAGGGAUGCAUCCUCUCAUUGUCGUGGGCACCGGUUCAGGCCCGGAAGGGAGCAGACCUACUGUGAACGCAUGGCGCCCGCAGGGUUGCGGGGCGGAGUCUGGCUCUG
RNAcentral lists this signal recognition particle RNA (265 nucleotides) under uncultured Methanocorpusculum sp. Its description in RNAcentral is "Archaeal signal recognition particle RNA". It matches the Rfam family "Archaeal signal recognition particle RNA", at positions 5 to 270 of the family's 317-position model. The record is from RNAcentral. Lineage: Archaea; Methanobacteriati; Methanobacteriota; Methanomicrobia; Methanomicrobiales; Methanocorpusculaceae.